UGGGUGACCUGCCCUCAGCUCUGGGAUAAGCCUGGGAAACUGGGUCUAAUACUGGAUAUGACUGCGCAUCGCAUGGUGUGUGGUGGAAAGUUUUUUCGGCUGGGGAUCGGCCCGCGGCCUAUCAGCUUGUUGGUGGGGUGAUGGCCUACCAAGGCGACGACGGGUAGCCGGCCUGAGAGGGUGACCGGCCACACUGGGACUGAGACACGGCCCAGACUCCGUACGGGAG
Molecule: ribosomal RNA, 229 nt
Filed under: uncultured bacterium
Lineage: Bacteria
Description: partial 16S ribosomal RNA
Rfam family: Bacterial small subunit ribosomal RNA
Source: RNAcentral